This 72-nucleotide transfer RNA is filed under the name Sus scrofa (pig). It matches the Rfam family "tRNA". From Rfam's summary of the family: Transfer RNA (tRNA) molecules are approximately 80 nucleotides in length. Their secondary structure includes four short double-helical elements and three loops (D, anti-codon, and T loops). The record is from Rfam by way of RNAcentral. Lineage: Eukaryota; Metazoa; Chordata; Mammalia; Artiodactyla; Suidae.
UCCCUUGUGGUCUAGUGGUUAGGACUUGGCACUUUCACCGCUGCGGCCCAGGUUCAAUCCCUGCCCUGGGAA